Molecule: ribosomal RNA, 434 nt
Filed under: uncultured archaeon
Lineage: Archaea
Description: bacterial SSU rRNA
Rfam family: Archaeal small subunit ribosomal RNA
Source: RNAcentral
GGACCUGACUGCUAUCGGAUUGAUACUAAGCCAUGUGAGUCAUUGUAGCAAUACAAGGCAGACGGCUCAGUAACACGUAGCCAAUCUACCCUAUGGACGGGGAUAACCUCGGGAAACUGAGGAUAAACCCCGAUAGAUCAUUAUGCCUGGAAUGGUUAAUGGUUCAAAUGAUUCGUCGCCGUAGGAUGGGACUGCGGCCUAUCAGCUUGUUGGCGAGGUAAUGGCCCACCAAGGCUAUUACAGGUACGGGCUCUGAGAGGAGAAGCCCGGAGAUGGGUACUGAGACACGGACCCAGGCCCUAUGGGGCGCAGCAGGCGAGAAACCUUUGCAAUGUGCGCAAGCACGACAAGGUUAAUCCGAGUGUUUCCUGCUAAAGGAAUCUUUUGUUAGUCCUAAAAACACUAGCGAAUAAGGGGUGGGCAAGUUCUGGUGU